GCGGACCAAUUAGAAAGCUUGCUUUUUAGAUUGGUUAGCGGCGGACGGGUGAGUAACACGUGGGUAACCUGCCCUAUAGACCGGGAUAACUCGCGGAAACGCGUGCUAAUACCGGAUAACACACCGAAGCGCAUGCUUCGGGGUUGAAAGAUGGUUCUGCUAUCACUAUAGGAUGGGCCCGCGGCGCAUUAGCUGGUUGGUGGGGUAACGGCCUACCAAGGCGACGAUGCGUAGCCGACCUGAGAGGGUGAUCGGCCACACUGGGACUGAGACACGGCCCAGACUCCUACGGGAGGCAGCAGUAGGGAAUCUUCCACAAUGGGCGAAAGCCUGAUGGAGCAACGCCGCGUGAGCGAAGAAGGUCUUCGGAUCGUAAAGCUCUGUUGUAAGGGAAGAACAAGCGCAGCAGUCACUGGCUGCGCCCUGACGGUACCUUACUAGAAAGCCACGGCUAACUACGUGCCAGCAGCCGCGGUAAUACGUAGGUGGCAAGCGUUGUCCGGAAUUAUUGGGCGUAAAGCGCGCGCAGGCGGUCUCUUAAGUCUGAUGUGAAAGCCCCCGGCUCAACCGGGGAGGGUCAUUGGAAACUGGGAGACUUGAGUGCAGGAGAGGGAAGCGGAAUUCCAUGUGUAGCGGUGAAAUGCGUAGAGAUAUGGAGGAACACCAGUGGCGAAGGCGGCUUCCUGGCCU
This 690-nucleotide ribosomal RNA is filed under the name Ureibacillus suwonensis. RNAcentral's name for it is "bacterial SSU rRNA". It matches the Rfam family "Bacterial small subunit ribosomal RNA", at positions 66 to 735 of the family's 1533-position model. The record is from RNAcentral. Lineage: Bacteria; Bacillati; Bacillota; Bacilli; Caryophanales; Caryophanaceae.